Cygnus olor (mute swan) is the source of this 291-nucleotide long non-coding RNA. RefSeq lists it as uncharacterized. Lineage: Eukaryota; Metazoa; Chordata; Aves; Anseriformes; Anatidae. The transcript is spliced from 3 exons. The record is from RefSeq and is a predicted model, not a curated record.
GAGCAGGAGGCUCCAGUCUGGCCAGCUGUGGCUCUGUAAACCACAAUGACUUUGAGACUUUUAUGUAGGAUUGUGGUCAAGAACUUUGUCUUGUCAGCAGCAGUUGGAUGUGUUUUGAACAGGCCUAACAAACUGAGCUUCUGGCUGCCAGGAUGGGCAGCUUUGGACAAAUACUUGCUUUUUUUGAGGAAGAUUGUAUGUAAGCAGACUACAUAGAAUAUCAUAGACAAAUGAGAAAAGCAGCCUCUGAUACCUGAUAACCUUUUUCUACAAAGGUUGAAUUGGGUUCUA